RNAcentral lists this ribosomal RNA (1809 nucleotides) under Triticum aestivum (bread wheat). RNAcentral describes it as "partial small subunit ribosomal RNA". Lineage: Eukaryota; Viridiplantae; Streptophyta; Magnoliopsida; Poales; Poaceae. The record is from RNAcentral.
AUGACAUCGCCGGCGCCGGCGGCGUCGGGCGGGCGGGAGGGCGACGGGAUGCUGAUCACGCCGCUCGGCGGCGGCAGCGAGGUGGGCCGCUCCUGCGUCCACCUGAGCUUCAAGGGGCGCACAGUCCUAUUCGACUGCGGCAUCCACCCGGCAUACCUCGGCAUGGCGUCGCUGCCCUUCUUCGACGAGAUCGACCCCGCCGCCGUCGACGUCCUCCUCAUCACGCAGCAGGUCAUAGACUUCCACCAGACGUUGCAAGUUAAUGGCAUACGCUUCUGGUGCUAUACUGCAGGCCAUGUACUUGGAGCUGCCAUGUUCAUGGUGGAUAUUGCUGGCGUUCGCAUUCUUUACACUGGUGACUACUCCCGUGAAGAAGACAGGCACCUGAAAGCUGCUGAGAUCCCCCAGUUCUUCCCUGAUAUUUGCAUUAUCGAGUCAACUUACGGUGUGCAGCGACACCAACCCCGCCAUGUCAGAGAGAAGCGCUUCACUGAUGCCAUCCACAACACUGUUUCUCAAGGGGGCCGUGUUCUUAUCCCGGCAUUUGCUCUUGGUAGAGCACAGGAGCUGCUGCUUAUCCUAGAUGAGUAUUGGUCCAACCACCCAGAGCUCCAUAAGAUUCCAAUCUAUUACGCCUCCCCUCUUGCGAAGAAUUGUAUGGCUGUCUACCAGACAUACAUAAACUCCAUGAAUGACAGGAUCCGCAACCAGUUUGCACGGUCCAAUCCCUUCCAUUUCAAGCAUAUUGACCCUUUGAAUAGCAUAGACAACUUCCAUGAUGUUGGUCCGUCAGUGGUGAUGGCAAGUCCAGGUAGCCUCCAAAGUGGCCUCUCCACGCAGCUCUUUGCCGCCGCUUUCACCAACCUCUAUAAGAACACAUGUGUUAUUCCAGGUUAUGCUGUUGCUGGCUCCCUCGCAAAGGAGAUCAUCACUGAGCCGAGAAAAGUGCAGCUAGUAAAUGGGCUCACUGCUCCUCUCAAUAUGCAGAUCUUCUACAUCUCCUUUUCAGCUCACGCGGAUUUCCCACAGACGAGCGGCUUCCUGGGCGAGCUUCGCCCAGCCAACAUUAUUCUUGUACACGGGGAAGCAAAUGAGAUGGGGAGGCUCAGACAGAAGCUGAUCACUCAGUUCGAAACUGCCAACCAGUGCAGCUGUAAGACGGCCAAGGCAAUUGGCAGAUUGGCAGAAAAGGUGCCAGAAGUGGGAGAUUCGGUCAGUGGCUUGCUUGUGAAGAAGGGCUUCACGUACCAGAUUAUGGCUCCUGAGGACCUCCGGGUGCACACACAGCUAUCUACCGCCAACAUUACUCAGCGGCUCGCCGUCCCAUAUUCCGGUUCUUUUGAAGUCAUCAAGUACAGACUGAGGCAAAUAUACGAGAGCGUGGAAUCAUCAACCGACGAAGCCAAUGUUCCAACACUGAUUGUUCAUGAGAGGGUGACCAUCCGCCUGGAUUCAGAGAGCUACGUGACGCCACAGUGGUCCUCUGAUCCCAUAAGCGACAUGGUGUCUGAUUCCGUGGUGGCCAUGAUCUUGAACAUAGGGCGUGAGGGACCAAAGGCCGUUCCGAUGGAAGAGGAAACGGAGAUGGUUGCGCAGAAGGUGGUGUUUGCUCUAAUGGUGUCGGUCUUCGGUGACGUUAAAGUGGCGGAGGAAGGGGUGCUUGUUAUAACUGUCGAUGGAGAUAUCGCCUACUUGGAUGGGAGGAGCGAUGAUGUUGAGUGCCCGAAUGCUGCGCUGAAAGAGAGGAUAAAGACCGCGUUCCGUCGCAUUCAGGGUGCUGUGAGACCAAUCCCGCUGUCGGCCUCCUGA